UCUUGGUCAUUUAGAGGAAGUAAAAGUCGUAACAAGGUUUCCGUAGGUGAACCUGCGGAAGGAUCAUUAUUGAUUUUAAAGGAUGUGCUGGCAUUUAUGCAUGUGCACUCUUAAACCAAUAUCCACCCUGUGCACACUUGUAGGCAUUCCUUUGCCUAUGUUUCUUCACAAACAACUAUUGAUGUAUUUGAAUGCUAUUUGAUAAAUUGUAAUACAACUUUCAACAAUGGAUCUCUUGGUUCUCGCAUCGAUGAAGAACGCAGCGAAUUGCGAUAUGUAAUGUGAAUUGCAGAAUUCAGUGAAUCAUCGAAUCUUUGAACGCACAUUGCACCCUCUGGUAUUCCGGAGGGUAUGCCUGUUUGAGUGUCAUUAAUAUCUCAACCCAGACAGGUUUAACAACCUGCUCUGUUGCUUGGAUGUUGAAGGCUUGCUGGCUUUUUCAAGUCAGCUCCUUUUAAAUUCAUUAGCAGAAAUGAUNGGCAAAACUGGCUUCAGUUUGAUAAACUACUUUAUCUGUACUGCUGUCGCUAGUGAAAGAUACCUAACAUAUUUCAGCUUCCAAUUGUCCCAUGUGGGACUGUCUUCUCGAAGGCAUAACCAACUUGACACUUGACCUCAAAUCAGGUAGGACUACCCGCUGAACUUAAGCAUAUCAAUAAGCGGA
Molecule: ribosomal RNA, 664 nt
Filed under: Clavaria falcata
Lineage: Eukaryota; Fungi; Basidiomycota; Agaricomycetes; Agaricales; Clavariaceae
Description: eukaryotic LSU rRNA
Rfam family: 5.8S ribosomal RNA (bases 216-369)
Source: RNAcentral